Molecule: long non-coding RNA, 214 nt
Filed under: Gossypium barbadense (sea-island cotton)
Lineage: Eukaryota; Viridiplantae; Streptophyta; Magnoliopsida; Malvales; Malvaceae
Description: long non-coding RNA (GBAR_LNC000727)
Source: RNAcentral
CCGGAUCACAUAGCAUUAGUGGAGUGAUAAACAAAGCUACAGGAAAGAUCUUCUCGAUUACAUAAGAAAGAUAAAAUAAUGUUUGUUAGGUCUCUUGAGGCUACUUCUAGUGGUGAGACUGAAAAAAGAAUGAGCAUUGACUCUAAUCGGCGGAAGAUUGAUCAAUUCUUUUAUAACCACUUUCUCCUCUAAGUCAGGUGAAAGUCAACCCUUC